UAGCCUGCCCAGUGAUCCAUUUUAACGGCCGCAGUACCCUAACCGCGCGAAGGUAGCAUAAUCACUUGUUCUUUAAAUGAGGACUAGAAUCAACGGCACCACGAGGGUUAUACUGUCUCCUUUCUCUAAUCAGUGAAACUAAUCUCCCCGUGAAGAAGCGGGAAUAAAAUUAUAAGACGAGAAGACCCCAUGGAGCUUUAAACCUAGUUACACUCCGAACCUUUACACCCAACUAUUAUCCGAACCCUGUAAACUAGACUUUAGGUUGGGGUGACCGCGGAGU
RNAcentral lists this ribosomal RNA (283 nucleotides) under Gephyromantis luteus. RNAcentral's name for it is "partial 16S ribosomal RNA". It matches the Rfam family "Bacterial large subunit ribosomal RNA", at positions 1854 to 2291 of the family's 2925-position model. The record is from RNAcentral. Lineage: Eukaryota; Metazoa; Chordata; Amphibia; Anura; Mantellidae.